GGCUUAGGCUAUAAAAAAAAGCCUAUGAAUCCUAAUAGGCCGGCCUGUUUAUGCAUGUUAGGCUUCAUAGUGGACUUUUUAAAUAGGCUUUAAAGCUUUAUAGUGAAAUAUACGAUGGCUUUUAAGUAGGCUUUAAGACAUGUUUAACCUAUUUAGUAGGCCAAAUGAACUAUUUGAUGGCCUUAAUGUGAAGUAGGCUUGUAAGUAGGCUU
RNAcentral lists this long non-coding RNA (212 nucleotides) under Medicago truncatula (barrel medic). RNAcentral's name for it is "lncRNA gene2491". The record is from RNAcentral. Lineage: Eukaryota; Viridiplantae; Streptophyta; Magnoliopsida; Fabales; Fabaceae.